AUAAAACAACAGUAGGGAGGCUAUAUACAGGGGGUACCGGUACAGAAUCAAUCUGCGGGGGCACCGGUUAGUCGAGGUAAUUGAGGUAAUAUGUGCAUGUUGGUAGAGUACAUCUCUGCUCCAGGACCUCCUGUCUGUUUCAAGCCCAAUCCAGCUUGCUCUUCCAGUGGGUAAAACACAGGGCCAUCAUCCUCAUGGCUCUGCCAAGCUGGAAACUGGCACCACUGUGCCUACUUGCCAAGCUGUGCCAGGGCAGGGCCGGCGUAGGCUUUCUAGCUCUGCAAAACCCAGCAUGGGAGAAAGAGAAGUGAAAUGGUGAGAAUGAAUCUUAAAUGUUGCACAGAAUUACUUGUCCAAUCCACUCAAAAGUUAUUUUUGGAGGAAUGUCCCAUGUUAAUAUACAGUAGUUCUGGAGGUCUGAGUUUUAACAUUUGAGUCAUUUAGCAGACACUUAUCCAGAGCAACUUACAGUAGUGAAUGCAUACAAGUUCAUAUUAUGAUUUUUUUCAUACUUGGGAAUCGAAUCCACUACCCUGGAUUUGCAAGCACCACGCUCUACCAACUGAGCUAAUUGUAAAUCAAGUAGAAAACAGAGACAGAUAGUGGUAUGCAUGGCACACUGAUUUAUCAUUGUGGGGCAAAUGUUCAUAUUCAUGGGAAAAUGACUAGUUACCUUUUCUCUUUAUACACAGUUACAGUCUAACACACACACACACACACACACACACACACACACACACACACACACACACACACACACACACACACACACACACACACACACACACACACACACACAGUCUGAUUGUGAAAAGCCAAACUGGUCAGUGAGGACUGAUGUGCUGUGACCAAAGAUUUAUAUAAUCGCUUAGGUACUAUCUUCACAAGUAUGUGGUAAACUUUAACAACUCUUAGUACAAAACUCAAAGCAGGUCAUCAAAAGGCUGUUUUUUCCAAACUUGAAGCAGAUUUUCUAAUUUACUAAUAAGUACAACACACAAAAACCACACAGUAACCUUUUCACCAAACCUAAUCAGUGUUUCAUCUAGAAAUACCUUUCAUAUUAAGUACUAUGUUUCAUAGGACUCUCUUCUCAUUUGUUUAAAUUACAAUUGACCACCAUUUAAUCCAAAUGUGCUUAUUGGUAUAACACUUAGCCAUUUGGUUAACCUAUAGAUUUUAAACUGGUUUGUCUACUAUAUAUGGAUUUUGAGAACUACAGAAAGAAAAUAUGUUUGUAAAGUAUAACCCUACAUAGUAACUGUUCCUUAUUGUUAAUUGAUUUCAGUUUCAGUCCACUGACACACCUACCAGAUCACAGCAAAAUCACAGUCUACUUGUAAAAGAGCAAUAUUCAAAUCAUGAGGCAUUAAAGCCUAAGAAACUGCAUAAUGUUAAGAAAUGCUGGAGAUGGAAGAAAUGUAGUGUGGAAAUAAACCGAAAAACAUUUAGGCAACAACAAAUUCAAUUCCUUUUAGACAACUUCCUGGACAAAACAUUUCACUGUAAUAGGGAAGGUGGUCCUUCUGUGUGUGUGUGGUCCUUCUGUAGCACAGUUGGUAGAGCAUGGCGCGUGUAACGCCAGGGUAGUGGGUUCAAUUCCCGGGACCACCCAUACGUAGAAUGUAUGCACACAUGACUGUAAGUCGCUUUGGAUAAAAGCGUCUGCUAAAUGGCAUAUAUUAAGGUGUAAACUUGGCAGCAGAAAACUGAAACAGUACAUUUAACAUCUCAGCUUCCCUAUCAAAUCUAAAAAUGUCAAUCAGACAACCUAAGAAAAUGAAUGACAAAUGGUUUGAUGAAGAAUGCAAAAACAUAUCCAACCAAAAACCAUAGAGACAGUCACAGGUCAGGGUUUUCUCCCUUGAGUGUAAUACCUGAGGUUGCCACUGGAGAGCACCGGUGGGUUACUCCUAGUAUCCAGGUGACCCUGAUUGGGCUUAUUGGGAUCACCUGCUGGAUGACUAUUUUAGGUUCCUCUGUGGGCUGGGUCAGUUGUUCAGGUCUUGUUCAGUGUUCUCGUGUGCCCUUGCGAUGAGGACCUUAAGUAAAUAUUCUGGAUUUACCCUUACCUCUGCGUUUCGCUGCACUCGGGUCCGAGUUUGUACUAGCACUAAUGUCACAGUAUACCCAGAAUCUCUGAGCAUACGCCUUCACUAUGGUGAUUCACUUAAACAAUACAGAAAAAGACAGAACAGCGUGUCAGCAAUCAGCUCAAUGUAAUUGUGGAAUCCAUAGAAGCCAACCACCUCUGGGAAAAUUGGAAUACACAACAACGAGUUAUCUGUCCAAAACGGAGAUGUACAAACCACUUCUCCGAUCUUUACGGCUCUAUAACAAAAGAACAAACAGCAAAAACUUUUACAUGAUCAAAUACAAGUCUUAGAAUCAACUAUUAAAGACUACCAGAACCCACUGGAUUCUCCGAUUACAUUGAACUACAGCAUAAAAUACAAACCGAAAAAAGGUGUAUUCACCCUGCACACCCUAAUUGACAAACAAACAGAACAAAGGUGUAUUCACCCUGCACACCCUAAUUGACAAACAAACAGAACAAAGGGAAAGUCUUAUUAUUCUUUGUUGAUUUCAAAAAAGCGUUUGACUCAAUUUGGCAUGAGGGUCUGCUAUACAAACUGA
This is a long non-coding RNA of Oncorhynchus keta (chum salmon), 2637 nucleotides long. RefSeq lists it as uncharacterized. The record is from RefSeq and is a predicted model, not a curated record. The transcript is spliced from 3 exons. NCBI's taxonomy places the organism in Eukaryota, Metazoa, Chordata, Actinopteri, Salmoniformes, Salmonidae.